CGUUCCGUUUGCACGUCUUUCCGCCCCGCGUUUCCCCGCCCCACGUCUCACUGCCAACCUCAGCCCGCCUCGCGUCACGCGGUAGGCCGUCGCUCGGCUGAGAUGUGGGCGGCUCUCGGCGGGGCCGGGGGUCUCCACGUGGGGCUCCUUCUGGGCGGCGCUCGAGGCCUGCACAGCUCGCCUGUCUUCUGCGGCAAGAACCUACUCAAGAAAUUUGCUUCGAAAACUAAGAAGAAGUUUUGGUAUGAAGGUCCUUCCUUGGGCUCUCACUUGGUAAGUAUAGAGUAGUAGCGAUGAGCCACUUGAGAAUCUCGGUGGGUGUGAGGGUCCAAAAGGCGGCAGCUCUCCAGCCCUUCCUUUUCAAUAUUGGAGGGGACACGGUCUGUAGCGGUGGGACUAGAUACACUGGAACCACAGAAUUUUUACCUUUAAAAAAAA
Aethalodelphis obliquidens (Pacific white-sided dolphin) is the source of this 438-nucleotide long non-coding RNA. RefSeq lists it as uncharacterized. Lineage: Eukaryota; Metazoa; Chordata; Mammalia; Artiodactyla; Delphinidae. The transcript has 2 exons. The record is from RefSeq and is a predicted model, not a curated record.